RNAcentral lists this long non-coding RNA (233 nucleotides) under Elaeis guineensis (African oil palm). Its description in RNAcentral is "long non-coding RNA (EGUI_LNC029291)". Lineage: Eukaryota; Viridiplantae; Streptophyta; Magnoliopsida; Arecales; Arecaceae. The record is from RNAcentral.
UGUUCAUAAUUAUCUAUAUUUUCAAUAUCCGAAUUGUAUUCGUAUUCAUUUAAAAUAAAUAUGAAUAUAAAUUUUUACAUUCAAAUAAUAUUUAUAUUUAUAUUUAUAUUUAUUAAAUAAAAUAAAUAUAAAUAUGAAUAAUACUGAUAUCCAAUCCAGUUUCAAUCUUAUCCUCGAGUCAAACUCGAGUAGGAUGAUAAACUUGCACAAUAUAAAAUAAUCCCACUCAGGCU